Molecule: transfer RNA, 72 nt
Filed under: Telmatherina celebensis (Celebes rainbow)
Lineage: Eukaryota; Metazoa; Chordata; Actinopteri; Atheriniformes; Telmatherinidae
Description: tRNA-Gly
Rfam family: tRNA
About the family: Transfer RNA (tRNA) molecules are approximately 80 nucleotides in length. Their secondary structure includes four short double-helical elements and three loops (D, anti-codon, and T loops). Further hydrogen bonds mediate the characteristic L-shaped molecular structure. tRNAs have two regions of fundamental functional importance: the anti-codon, which is responsible for specific mRNA codon recognition, and the 3' end, to which the tRNAs corresponding amino acid is attached (by aminoacyl-tRNA synthetases). tRNAs cope with the degeneracy of the genetic code in two manners: having more than one tRNA (with a specific anti-codon) for a particular amino acid; and 'wobble' base-pairing, i.e. permitting non-standard base-pairing at the 3rd anti-codon position.
Source: RNAcentral
ACUUUUCUAGUAUAAAUUUUAGUACCUGUGACUUCCAAUCACACGGUCUUGGUUAAAGUCCAAGGAAGAGUA